GGAGAGGUGGCCGAGUGGCCGAAGGCGCAGCACUGGAAAUGCUGUAAACUCGCAAGGGUUUCGCGGGUUCGAAUCCCGCCCUCUCCG
RNAcentral lists this transfer RNA (87 nucleotides) under Planctomycetota bacterium. RNAcentral describes it as "tRNA-Ser". It matches the Rfam family "tRNA". From Rfam's summary of the family: Transfer RNA (tRNA) molecules are approximately 80 nucleotides in length. The record is from RNAcentral. Lineage: Bacteria; Pseudomonadati; Planctomycetota.